CCUACGGGGGGCAGCAGUGGGGAAUAUUGGACAAUGGGGGGAACCCUGAUCCAGCCAUGCCGCGUGUGUAAAGAAGGCCCUCGGGUUGUAAAGCACUUUCAGUGAGGAAGAACGCCUGGUGGUUAAUACCCAUCAGGAAAGACAUCACUCACAGAAGAAGCACCGGCUAACUCCGUGCCAGCAGCCGCGGUAAUACGGAGGGUGCGAGCGUUAAUCGGAAUUACUGGGCGUAAAGCGCGCGUAGGUGGCUUGAUAAGCCGGUUGUGAAAGCCCCGGGCUCAACCUGGGAACGGCAUCCGGAACUGUCAAGCUAGAGUGCAGGAGAGGAAGGUAGAAUUCCCGGUGUAGCGGUGAAAUGCGUAGAGAUCGGGAGGAAUACCAGUGGCGAAGGCGGCCUUCUGGACUGACACUGACACUGAGGUGCGAAAGCGUGGGUAGCAAACAGGAUUAGAUACCCCUGUAGUC
This 465-nucleotide ribosomal RNA is filed under the name Vreelandella stevensii. Its description in RNAcentral is "partial 16S ribosomal RNA". It matches the Rfam family "Bacterial small subunit ribosomal RNA", at positions 338 to 795 of the family's 1533-position model. Lineage: Bacteria; Pseudomonadati; Pseudomonadota; Gammaproteobacteria; Oceanospirillales; Halomonadaceae. The record is from RNAcentral.